This 206-nucleotide ribosomal RNA is filed under the name uncultured bacterium. Its description in RNAcentral is "partial 16S ribosomal RNA". It matches the Rfam family "Bacterial small subunit ribosomal RNA", at positions 568 to 774 of the family's 1533-position model. The record is from RNAcentral.
CACGUAGGCGGACUCUUAAGUCGGGGUGAAAGCCCAGGGCUCAACCCUGGAACUGCCUUUGAUACUGGGAGUCUUGAGUAUGGUAGAGGUUGGUGGAACUGCGAGCGUAGAGGUGAAAUUCGUAGAUAUUCGCAAGAACACCAGUGGCGAAGGCGGCCAACUGGACCAUUACUGACGCUGAGGUGCGAAAGCGUGGGGAGCAAACA